CCCGGUGGCCAUCGCGGGGCUGAUAACACCCGAUCCCAUCCCGAACUCGGCCGUGAAACUCCCCAGCGCCCAUGGUACUGCGCCUCAAGGCGCGGAAGAGUAGGUCGCCGCCGGGC
This 116-nucleotide ribosomal RNA is filed under the name Teichococcus coralli. Lineage: Bacteria; Pseudomonadati; Pseudomonadota; Alphaproteobacteria; Acetobacterales; Roseomonadaceae. The record is from RNAcentral.